Rhineura floridana is the source of this 500-nucleotide long non-coding RNA. RefSeq lists it as uncharacterized. The record is from RefSeq and is a predicted model, not a curated record. Lineage: Eukaryota; Metazoa; Chordata; Lepidosauria; Squamata; Rhineuridae. The transcript is spliced from 3 exons.
UUGACAGUAACGUUCAUUGGAAUGCUCGACCCCUCUGGUUAAAUAGGGCUAUAAAAGGGAGGCAAUCUCAUCUAUUUUACUUCUAAUCUGUGACUCCCAAGGCACUGGAAGAGCCACUUUGCCUUUGAGGCAAGUGGUUAUGAUACUCCAUACAUGACCGUACAAGAGAUGUCAAGAACACUGAGUGGCAAAAUAAGAGCUACAUGAAGGCUUCACAAGCUAUGAGACGCCAGAUUACUUGGGGAAGCUCCGAAGUUGGCCAUGAUGUAAUAGCCAUGCCCUCUUCGCCUCGCAGCAACAACAAAUCAGAGGUUCCACCUCCAUACUCAAAAUGAAACUGGGCCUGGAAGUGUGCAACAACCCCACACAUACCUUGCUAAUUCGAUUACCAAUGCCAGGAUGUCUGUUAUCGACUACUCUCCUGCUCCCCCCCCCCCACCGGACAUCAUGAAAGACCCAGUCCUGGGCUCAGAAAGAAAAUAAAUAUCUGGUCCUCUUCA